UCUCUGAGGGUACAGUCAGUUCCCGAUUCGAUCGGGCUUUUUCUUCCCCUCUAACAGGAGUUUACAACCUUACGGCAUUCAUCCUCCACGCGGCGUUGCUGGGUCACCCUUCCGGGCAUUGCCCAAUAUUCCU
This 133-nucleotide ribosomal RNA is filed under the name uncultured bacterium. RNAcentral's name for it is "partial 16S ribosomal RNA". The record is from RNAcentral.